CCUACGGGCGGCAGCAGUGGGGAAUAUUGGACAAUGGGCGAAAGCCUGAUCCAGCCAUGCCGCGUGUGUGAAGAAGGCCUUCGGGUUGUAAAGCACUUUCAGUGGGGAAGAAAGCCUUGGGGCUAAUACCCUCGAGGAAGGACAUCACCCACAGAAGAAGCACCGGCUAACUCCGUGCCAGCAGCCGCGGUAAUACGGAGGGUGCGAGCGUUAAUCGGAAUUACUGGGCGUAAAGCGCGCGUAGGCGGUCUGAUAAGCCGGUUGUGAAAGCCCCGGGCUCAACCUGGGAACGGCAUCCGGAACUGUCGGGCUAGAGUGCAGGAGAGGAAGGUAGAAUUCCCGGUGUAGCGGUGAAAUGCGUAGAGAUCGGGAGGAAUACCAGUGGCGAAGGCGGCCUUCUGGACUGACACUGACGCUGAGGUGCGAAAGCGUGGGUAGCAAACAGGAUUAGAUACCCCAGUAGUC
This 465-nucleotide ribosomal RNA is filed under the name Vreelandella stevensii. RNAcentral's name for it is "partial 16S ribosomal RNA". It matches the Rfam family "Bacterial small subunit ribosomal RNA", at positions 338 to 795 of the family's 1533-position model. Lineage: Bacteria; Pseudomonadati; Pseudomonadota; Gammaproteobacteria; Oceanospirillales; Halomonadaceae. The record is from RNAcentral.